Aquila chrysaetos chrysaetos is the source of this 1285-nucleotide long non-coding RNA. RefSeq lists it as uncharacterized. Lineage: Eukaryota; Metazoa; Chordata; Aves; Accipitriformes; Accipitridae. The record is from RefSeq and is a predicted model, not a curated record. The transcript is spliced from 2 exons.
CUUCUGGUCCGGGGCGAGGGGGGCGGUGGCUGGAUUCAGCCCCCCUCAGCCUGGGGCUCCUCCGUGGGGCUCUGCAGGUCCCUCGCAUCCAUCCGGCACCUCUUGCCCCUGGCCGUGCCGUGUGCCCAGUAGAGGCAGCAGAGGAGCUGCCGCUGAACUGCCAGCCUGGUGCACAUGCAUCUUCCGGCUCUUUCUCGAGCUAAUUAAAUACAUUCUUGAAAGGUUUAUGCCCUCGUCUAUCACAGGGAGACAGCAUCAGUGAGACCCGUCCCCGGGCUGGCAUGAGCUGGGAAGGGGCUGGCUGCACGAGCGCUCAUGCUGCAGCAGUGCUGCCUGACAGUGACUCGGGUGCCGAGUCCCCGCGCGCAGCUGGCUGCUGCGAUCACCGUCAUGCCAGAAGCCGAGAGAGGCUGAGGGCUUGGGGUUUUUUCCCAUUACCCCUCUUUAAAGCAACGCUGUGUAGCUCUGCAGUUGCUGCGUGGGAAGUGGAGCUGGGGAGGACGCAGGGGGCUCCUGUGGCUAAUGCCCCCUCUCUGAUGUCCUCUCUCCGUAGCUCAUGCUGGAGGAGCCUGGUGCUGUCUGUGACCGGCCGUGGGUCUGGCUCCAUCUGUGGGCUUGGGGUGUCCUUGCGCUCCCUGUUGGGGGAAGCUCUGCAUUUCUGUCAGAAGGGGGGUUGGAGGAACCCCUGGCAAAAGCUGCCUCCCAGGCAGAGGAAAUGGGAUGGAUUCAUGUUGGACUAGCAGGUGUCCUCUCUUUUUGCCUUCAGUCAGCUGCUGUCUGAGACAAGCGAAGGAUUUUCCCAACGGGUGAUGGUUCCAGGGCAAAGCAGCCUGACCUCUGGGAGCCCCAGGGGCUCGCACGGAUCCUCCCGAUGCUGGCUCGACUGAUGGAAAGUCGCUUAAAGCUUCCCUGUUACCCUGCAGAGAUACCCCAUGUCCUUUGUCUCAAAGGUCGGAGCCGUGGCUGCCGUUCCCACAGGGCUUUGGGACCAUCGACGGCCUUUCCAGGACGCGUUUGGAGCUGCUGAAAUGCAAUCAGCCGUGGCUGCGGUGCUGCCUGGCCCCUCCUCGCCUGCCAGAACGGCUGCUGCUGCUGGUUGGUUUUUUUUUUCCCCUUCUGGAGGGAUCCUGUGGCUUCCUUCCCAGAACCUGAGACCUCAGAGCCACGGUCCAAGGCCACCGGCUUCCACCCUCUCCUGUGCUGCUGAUUCAUCACUGCUGGUUAGUUAAAAAAGGGUAAUCAGCAAAUUACUGAAAUAUAAGUAAAAUAAACAAGGUGGGCAGGA